Molecule: ribosomal RNA, 440 nt
Filed under: uncultured bacterium
Lineage: Bacteria
Description: bacterial SSU rRNA
Rfam family: Bacterial small subunit ribosomal RNA
Source: RNAcentral
AACGCGAAGAACCUUACCCAGGCUUGACAUGCAGAUGACCGUGCCAGAAACGGCACUUCCCUUCGGGGCAUCUGCACAGGUGCUGCAUGGCUGUCGUCAGCUCGUGCCGUGAGGUGUUUGGUUAAGUCCAGCAACGAGCGCAACCCUUGUCACUAGUUGCCAGCACGUAAUGGUGGGAACUCUAGUGAGACUGCCUAGGUUAACUAGGAGGAAGGUGAGGAUGACGUCAAGUCCGCAUGGCCCUUAUGUCUGGGGCUACACACGUGCUACAAUGGUCGGUACAGAAGGCAGCGAAACCGCAAGGGGAAGCAAAUCCUUAAAGCCGGCCCCAGUUCAGAUUGUAGUCUGCAACUCGACUACAUGAAGUUGGAAUUGCUAGUAAUGGCGUGUCAGCCACAACGCCGUGAAUACGUUCCCGGGCCUUGUACACACCGGAGUGC